This 607-nucleotide ribosomal RNA is filed under the name uncultured Acidovorax sp. RNAcentral describes it as "bacterial SSU rRNA". It matches the Rfam family "Bacterial small subunit ribosomal RNA", at positions 94 to 691 of the family's 1533-position model. Lineage: Bacteria; Pseudomonadati; Pseudomonadota; Betaproteobacteria; Burkholderiales; Comamonadaceae. The record is from RNAcentral.
AGUGGCGUACGGGUGCGUAACACGUAAGUAAUCUACCUUUGGGUUCGGAAUAACUUCGGGAAAUCGGAGCUAAUACCGGAUAAUGCAGCGGCACCGCAUGGUGAUGUUGUUAAAGUUUGUGUAAUGCCUAAAGAUGAACUUGCGUCUGAUUAGCUAGUUGGUGAGGUAAUGGCUCACCAAGGCUGCGAUCAGUAGCUGGUCUGAGAGGAUGAUCAGCCACACUGGAACUGAGACACGGUCCAGACUCCUACGGGAGGCAGCAGUGAGGAAUAUUGGGCAAUGCCCGAAAGGGUGACCCAGCAACGCCGCGUGGAGGAUGAAGGCCUUCGGGUUGUAAACUGCUUUUGUACGGAACGAAAAGGCUCUGGCUAAUACCUGGGGCACAUGACGGUACCGUAAGAAUAAGCACCGGCUAACUACGUGCCAGCAGCCGCGGUAAUACGUAGGGUGCGAGCGUUAAUCGGAAUUACUGGGCGUAAAGCGUGCGCAGGCGGUUUUGUAAGACAGAGGUGAAAUCCCCGGGCUCAACCUGGGAACUGCCUUUGUGACUGCAAAGCUGGAGUGCGGCAGAGGGGGAUGGAAUUCCGCGUGUAGCAGUGAAAUGCGU